UGUAGUUUUAAUAAAUUUAUUUUUUAAAAUUGUUUAAAUUAGGAAAGAGUUUGACUUUUAAAUAUAGUAGGAAUUGGACAAAAUCAGUCAUAAUCUUUCGAAUUUUUCGUUUACGUUAACAACAAGCCCUUCAAAAAAAAGAUAAUUUAAAAAGCAACAUUUCCUCAUCAUUAUCUCAAAAAUGUCAUUUUUUUGACUUAUCGCUCUUUUGCACUGAGGGUGCGAUAUUAUUAUCGAUCGAAUAAAUAAUAUCCUAAACCAGGAUUUGACCCCGUAACCCUUUAAUCCUUUCAGUUAAGUUAUAUUUUUUAGUUACGACAAAGUUAAAUGUCAAAGUCUGCAAAAAAUUACAGGUAUAACUACGGUGACCAUAUUUCUAGGAGCGAAAUCCGGGACAGGUAAAAAAUUCGUUGCUUCGUUUUGAAAACAUUGGUUUUUCAAAAAAAAAAAAAUAAUAAUAAAAUGAGUUUUCAUAAUUAUUCCUAAUUUUGAUAUCAAGAUUUUUUAAACGAUUUUAUAGGACGUUGAAAUCCUUUAAGUCGUUUCCAAAGGAAUCCAGAAAUCAAGAAUUUAUUCCCUCUGUGCCACGUAGUUAUGAGUUAUAUGUGUUCUUUCUCUCUUUGUCUUUCUUUGUUGUAUUAAUGUCUUGUGCUGUAUCAGCCAAAUGGACUUAGUUUCCGAAGCUGCAGUGUGUCUAGUUCGGAAGAUUUAUCUUCUGAUUAGAUUAAUAUGUAAUGUAAUGUAAGAAUUUAUUAGAUACUGUUACUACUGUUAAUAACUUAAAAAAAAAACUACUUUUUUAAACAAAAUUAUGAGAGCUGUUUUUUAACAUUUUAAUUUUGUUUUAAAAGAUGAAUUUUGUAAUAUUUAAUUCAACUUUUAAUAGGGUCAAUGUGGGUAAAUGUAAACAGGGGUAAAUGAAAACAUGGCUCAUAACAAGCUUCAGUUAAAUCUCUUUGAUGCAUACAUAAUUACAAAUCGCGGACGCAUGUAUCUUUUAACUAAUACGUCAAGCUCAUUGCUGUCAAGAAAAUUCAUUCGACGAGCGUAUUUUCCGUGAAAGAUAAUUUUUUAAAGUGCCAAAUAAGUCGUUAGUCUUUCAGAAAAACUUAAUAUUUUUGCAGAUUCAAUUAAGCCAGUAUAAUUUGCAAAUACUUUAUAGUUUUUAAUUUUGGUGUAGAUUCUAUGUGAAACAAACAAAUUUUAAAACACAGGACAUUUAUGUCGAUUUGCAUGUGUUUACAUUUACCCCAGAAUAUUUUUCAUAAUGGGUAAAUGUAAACAACGUAUUCUGGGGGUAAAUAUAAACAUAUAUUUUUGCUGAAAUUAUUGGUUUUAAUAAAAAUAAAGUAUUUUUAGUCGUUUACUAUUGCUAAAGUGCCGCGGAGUCACAUUUUAAAGCUGCCAACACAAUCAUUUUCAGUGGAUGAUGUUGCAAAAUAGGUCUUUGAUGAAAAAAAAAAAAAACAAAAUAUGACGUUCAGAGCUGCUCAGGAUGCAUAUUGGGUGCUUAUAUAAAGAUGCAAAGGAAGAAUCCAAAAAAUUUUAUUGGAAUUUGAAAAAGUUUUUGUCAAAUACCUUCUUGAACGUUUUUCAAGUCGUUAUCCAAAUGAUAAAGAACCACCGUUUACAUUUACCCCGAAUUUGUAAAAAAACAGAAACAUGGGGGGGUAUUUGUAAACAUGCCAUAUUUGACAGUAAUUUAAACAAUUUGGGAAAUAUUUGUUUAUAUUUAUAAAGAAGAAUUGCCAUCAUUUCAUAUUUGCAUUUAGAGAUACCUGUGAAGUUGUUCCGUGAAAACAUAUUAAAAUCUAAAGUCAAAAGAAAAAAAAGACAUGAAAUUGUUUACAUUCACCCACAUUGACCCUAUGUCCCUAAAAGUUUUUAAAUUUAGCUGGGUUCACUAUUCGAAAGAACUUUUUUCUGACAAAGACAAGCUCGAACUAAACAAUUGACGACAAAUUUUUAAAAACUAAUGCUUUUAUUCGAAAAAUUAGAAAAACUUUUCUUUUCCAACCACUGUUUUCUUGUUUUCCGUACAAAGUAUUUAAAAUUUUGAAUACAAAAAUCAGAAAAUGUGGAAAUACGGGACAAUCACGGGACAAAUUACAAUAUACGGGACACUUAUACGUUCCGGGUUUCUUAAAUAAAAACCCGGGACAAGCUAUAGAAAUACGGGACAUUCCCGGGUAAACCGGGACGGAUGGUCACCGUAGGUAUAACACACUUUGAUAAGGACUUUAUCAUAAAGCGGGAUAUGGUAAUAGAAAUGACAGCAACACUAGUCGUUGAUUUUUCAAUGAUUGAAACAAUUUUUGGAAGUGUUCUUUAGUGAUUUCGAAAUUGAUAUUAACUUAGCACAUUUAAACUUUUUAUAAUGUAAAACUGUUUGUAUACAUAUCUGGGUGGCAUCCAAUGACCCUUGCCCAACAAGGUUUGCCACAAGAACUAAAAUAUACUUCUCUACAGGUUUUUGAUGUGCUGAACUCGAACCUGAAGUCGGAAAGCUUUUAUUGGUCCCCCUUUUUGAAAUAUUACUGUUAGAAAAUGAAAAAAACGUCACUUUGGCUGUUUUCUAAUUUAUAUGAGGUGCUUAUAAGAACUGGGGUCGAAUUACGGCAUACGAUUACGAUCAUACGUUAACGUUUUGACUAUUUCUGUCUCUAUUUAAUUAUAAGAAAACGAUAGGGACACAUAGCAACCAUUCGUUAACGAACGUAUGCCGUAAUUCGACCCCUGGUUUUAUUCUUCCAAAACAUGUUUAAAUCUUAACGAUGCCUUUUUCACUGCCCGAGAUAUUUAAAAUUUAAGUAGCGGUCUUUGACUCAGAAACACUGGCUGGCCAACCAAAUCAAACUUUUUUUUUUCACAAGAACCAAAAUAUUUUUUUCUAGAGGCUGAACUCGAAUCUGCAAUCAGAAAAAUUCUAUUACAUAUUUGUUUAUAAUGAAUCACCCCACAUAAAAACACAACCUCGAAAACAGCCAAAAUGAAGUUUUUUUUGCAUUGUAUAACGGUAAUAUUUCAAAAACUUCAGAUUCAAGUUCAGCACAUCAAAAACCUGUACAAAAGUAUAUUUUGGUUCUUGUGACUUGUUGACCAGUGUAAUUUUCGCUGAUUGCAAAUGUGUGCGAUUUAUUCUGUUUGCAUGUACGUACAAUACGCUUCGGUUUGAUUUGAAAAUUACUCAUUUGUAAUCAUACAUAGUGCUUAGAAAUACCCAAUGUGAUUAAAAAAUGAUUUAAUCUUCUCUUCCUUGAGAAAAGUGAAAUACAAAAGCUUUCAGCUCUUUAACCACAUUUAAUCACUUUUGCGUAAACUAAGGUAUACAUUAACUGCGAAGUAUUCAUUUUAAGCUUUACUUCAAAAGUUUUAAUAAAUCAAAUACCUAUCUAUAUAUUUUUAUUCGAGGGUGUGCAGUCACAUCGAAAUUCUUUAACAUUUGAUGUCAUAAAAUAUUAUCAAUAGAUGAAAAUUAAAAAUUCUGUAUGCUGCUUCGUCAGAUGUACAUAUUAAUUCUUCUUCAAACUGUACGCUUGGAUUGAUUUAAGCUUAAUCUUUAGUAUGAAUGUAUAAGCUUGAAGUUGUGUAAUAUGAUAGAAAAAAAAAGCGUCACGACAAUUGUAAGCCCACACAUAGUUUUUUUUAGUAAACAUCAUAAGCUGCAUUUUUUUUUAGUUUUAGUUCCUCUUUCUAAAUAGUUUUUAACUCAAAAAACUGAUAAUGUGUCGUAAGCUUGUAUUCAAUUUAGAAGUUGGCCAAGUUAAUUAAAAAUUGUGUGUCUUAUGUAAACUUAUCGUCUUAGAACUUGAUAAUAGGUGCAAACAGUGCUGUGAUUAUUUUUUUUGAAAAACUAAAUAAAAAUUAAAUUGAACCUGUGCAAAGAGGGGACGGAAGAAGAAAAGUUGAAGCUUGUAAAAAUAAGAAUCGAUCUCGACGAUCUUUUUAGAUACACCAAAAAAUGCAAACAUGAAUGAUAUCGAAAGAGGUUUGUGCAAAUUAACCGUAAAUGUAAUUCCAGAUUGGUAGAAGAACGGUUUGGAGAUCCGCAAAAAGAACUAUAAUUGCUGAUGCCAAGCCUGGAAAUAUAUUGGACAAAAAUACGAGAUAAAUUACUUUUUUAACCGUUGGCAUAAGGUGAGCAGCACUGGCUGGAGAUGAUGCCCCUUCAACAUAAGAGGUUCUCUCUUUAAACGGCAACCCUUUUUACAAUGGAAGCUUCAACCAGUUUUGUUCCCUGUGUAACGCGCGAAAGAGGAUUUUAUAAGUAUAUGCCCAAUAUUCAGACCUAAAAGGUUGAUUUUCUUGGGAAAACAUUCAUUAUCCAUGAAAGAGACCAUCGAUCUUCUAAACAACUACGAGUGGAAAAAAUUAAGUAAUUAUUUAAAAUCUAUUUAUAAAGGAGAAUGGGCAAGUUAACGUGGACGUUACGCGGCCAGGAAUGAAUUUGUUAUUUUUUGAUGUAAUUAAGGUUUACAUAUAUUGUGCAGAAGUUUUAUCCCUGUGACGUAUUUCAAUAACGGAUAAAAUGCAUUUUUGCAUUUAACACUUUAUAUAUAUGUCUCAAUGUUAUAACUCAAUUGUGUAUUUUAAGUGCAAAAUAUUAUUUUCUGUCAUUUUCCCUGAGUCUGAAGACCUUUAUCUUGAAUAUCCAACCACUAGGACCCAAACUAUAAGCAUUUUAAAACAACAAAUUCAAGCCUAUUUUUAGAGUUUUGUUGUUCAAUUUUUUGUUACUUUGAAUUCUUUGAAAACUUUCGAACCUGAAAUGGUUAUCUUAAAAAUCUUAUAUUAUGAGUUCUAUUGGUCGGAUUUUCAAGAUUAAUGUCUUCAUGCUCAGGGAAAAUGACAGAGCAUCAUAUUUUAUAUUCCAUAUAAAAAUAUAAAUCAGUUUUUCCUUCAUACAUUGAACAAUGCAAUAACAAUAUUAAUACUGCAUUAUCUUGCAUUCUUAACGCAAUACAGCGAAACGUCCAUAGUAAAAGUUUUUCCUGGGCUAUAAUUCUUUCAUUUGAUACCAAUUUUAUUGAUGGCCGCUCAACGUCCAAAAUGCCCAUUCUCCUUUAGAAUGUUAAUAAUUUCAGAAUACCUUUAAAUAUUUAUAAUCCAGUCAAAUAAGGGUUUAACCUCGGAAUGAAUGUUAGUAGAAAUUUUUUUUGCUCAAUAUCUUCAUUUUGCAAUUCUAUAACAUACUUCAAAAGUCUAGAAAAAUCUCAUGUCCGCUUGUCGCGAUUUCAAGGUCAAAUCGCGAAAUGGAAAUUUUCAAAAUUAGCAAAAAUAGGCUAUGGUAUUAUAUACACAUAUGAUACAUGAUUUCAAAGUAUUUUUUAAUGCUGAUUCCAAAAAAUCUAAAAUCAAGACAAUCUGACGUCUCUGGAAAAAGUUAUACCUGUUUUUCAUCUGUCAACUCAUAUUAUUAUAACAGUUGCAAACUUACUGCCGAAAAACCCUUAAAAGUUAUGGUAGAUGAACCAAAUUUUGCAUGAAGAUUUUAGAAUCCAUCAUUAUUAAAUAUCAAAACAAUCCAUUACAAAAAAUAUAUAUACCUACGAAAUAAUGGUAUUUUU
Episyrphus balteatus (marmalade hoverfly) is the source of this 5567-nucleotide long non-coding RNA. RefSeq lists it as uncharacterized. NCBI's taxonomy places the organism in Eukaryota, Metazoa, Arthropoda, Insecta, Diptera, Syrphidae. The record is from RefSeq and is a predicted model, not a curated record. The transcript has 3 exons.